This 483-nucleotide ribosomal RNA is filed under the name Triticum aestivum (bread wheat). RNAcentral describes it as "partial small subunit ribosomal RNA". The record is from RNAcentral. Lineage: Eukaryota; Viridiplantae; Streptophyta; Magnoliopsida; Poales; Poaceae.
AUGUGGCCUAUUUAUGAAAAACCUAGGCCAGAAGCUCCUGAUUAUGUUAAAGUUAGAAUGCCAGGCAGGCCCAAGAAGAAUGCUAGGAGGAGGGAAGACCAUGAGAAACCAGUUGGCAAAAAAAUGAGCAAACAUGGCACUGUUAUUGUUUGUUCAAUGUGUGGCACUGCAGGCCACAACAAAUCUGGUUGCAAGAAGAAUCCAGAGAAGGGCAAGAAAAAAAAUGCACAUCUUGUGAAGGCAGCCAAGAAAAGAAAAAGCACUGAGGUAAUUUUAGAUGAGUUUAUUACCUGUGAAUUAAUAUGGUUGCUUAUUAGUAAUUUACCUUGCCUUCAAAUAAUUUUAGAUGAGUUUAGUAGCUGUCAAUUAAUACAUGAAUGUACUGCAGGCUGGUCCUACACAAGCUGGAAGUGCACCUACUUCUCAACCAGCAGCAAGAUCAGCCCCAACUUGUGGAACUGCUGGAACAGCUUCAAAGUUUAA